UGGGGAAUAUUGGGCAAUGGAGGCAACUCUGACCCAGCAAUGCCGCGUGAGUGAUGAAGGUAAUUUUAUUGUAAAGCUCUUUUCUUUGGAACGAAUAAAUGACGGUACCAAAGGAAUAAGCCCCGGCUAACUACGUGCCAGCAGCCGCGGUAAUACGUAGGGGGCAAGCGUUGUUCGGAAUGACUGGGCGUAAAGGGUGUGUAGGUGGUUUGAUAAGUUAGAUGUGUAAUACCCAGGGCUUAACUCGGGUGCUGCAUCUAAAACUGUUAGACUUGAGUACUGGAGAGGAUAGUGGAAUUCCUA
Molecule: ribosomal RNA, 303 nt
Filed under: uncultured bacterium
Lineage: Bacteria
Description: bacterial SSU rRNA
Rfam family: Bacterial small subunit ribosomal RNA
Source: RNAcentral